Molecule: transfer RNA, 60 nt
Filed under: Proasellus margalefi
Lineage: Eukaryota; Metazoa; Arthropoda; Malacostraca; Isopoda; Asellidae
Description: transfert RNA-K(AAA)
Source: RNAcentral
GACUAAAUGGCCGAUAAAGGCAUAGAAUUUUUAAUUCUUUCAUGAGAAAGCUCUUUAGUU